RNAcentral lists this ribosomal RNA (468 nucleotides) under uncultured bacterium. Its description in RNAcentral is "partial 16S ribosomal RNA". It matches the Rfam family "Bacterial small subunit ribosomal RNA", at positions 28 to 507 of the family's 1533-position model. The record is from RNAcentral.
GACGAACGCUGGCGGCGUGCUUAACACAUGCAAGUCGAACGGAAAGGCCCUGCUUUUGUGGGGUGCUCGAGUGGCGAACGGGUGAGUAACACGUGAGUAACCUGCCCUUGACUUUGGGAUAACUUCAGGAAACUGGGGCUAAUACCGGAUAGGAGCUCCUGCUGCAUGGUGGGGGUUGGAAAGUUUCGGCGGUUGGGGAUGGACUCGCGGCUUAUCAGCUUGUUGGUGGGGUAGUGGCUUACCAAGGCUUUGACGGGUAGCCGGCCUGGGAGGGUGGCCGGCCACAUUGGGACUGAGGUACGGCCCAGACGGCUACGGGAGACAGCAGUGGGGAAUAUUGCACAAUGGGCGGAAGCCUGAUGAAGCAACGCCGCGUGCGGGAUGACGGCCUUCGGGGUGUAAACCGCUUUCGCCUGUGACGAAGCGUGAGUGACGGUAAUGGGUAAAGAAGCACCGGCUAACUACGUG